UUGAGCACGCAAGCAGCGUGUUCGGGUUUGCAGUGGAACCGAGUGACAGUAGAGAAAUAGAAGAAAUAGAAGCAUUUUGUCAAUCCCGGGGAAUUACUUACACAAGAGAACCAGUGUCUGUGCUUCUAUUGGGAAAUCUGCGCUCUCUUUCUGGUGUAGAUUUGCACCAACAGUGUUACUACUGUCAAGUGACCUAGCAGCACUAUCACUAUCAGCUCGGGACAGCGCACUGAGUUCGACUGGAGAGCUGAGACACCAGCUCCACUGCCUGCCUGCCCACCCAGACAAACUGUCACCUGUCUAUUGUGGGGCGCAGGACCUUUCUCCUACAUGCGCCUGCUGAGUUUGGACUCGUCUUCAGUGUUUAGUCUGCUAUCUUUUCUCUGGAGAAGGAUGCUGCAGCUUCCCUCGCCCUACCAACUGUUGCUUUAUUAGUUUGUGAGUGUCUGUGCUCAGGGGGCUGUGUUGCGCCCUUCACCUGCUUGUUUCAGGAGUGUCUGUUCUUAUUGACGAAUGUGAAAGUGAAUGCACCGCGCUUCCACCUGCUGUAGUUAACACGAUCUGCCUGUGCGCUGUGUACAGGAAGCGGGGUUGGUUUCGUGGGCGAUGCGCGACUUGGCAGUGACUCACCGCCUCGGUUGGUACUGAGAGCCUCUGUUCCUUUUUAAAGUUUCGCGAAGCGCUGCUGGGGAUUUCAAGUUGAAGUGGUGCUGCUGUUGAGAGCACACGGCCAGCAAAACACCGCGGAAGAAUACACCACCAAGGGUAACCAGGGUCCCCAGAGUGGUUUCAGAUGCGGCUUCGUGUUUACGCGCCCCUCCUAUGAACUUGAGAAAAGAGAGGGGUCUGCGAGGCGAGAACAACAGACAAAGCUGAACUUCGAUGAUAUAUUUGUAAACUGAAGAGUCGCUAGUUGACACUGCCAGUGUCGGGCGCUAUCCUUCCUCUCCAUCAAGCGGAAUAUACUACAGUAAUGGUUUUCCUUUGGGACGCCAAAUACGAUGCUGCCCCUGCGCGCAGGUUCACGCCGCCGUCCACCACUCUGAGCCCUGGCAAAAUAAGCGAAGGCUUACCGCUGGGGGGGCAGGAGAACAGCGCUGCCCUGGUGGGGAAACUACGCAUUACAGACCGGAGUGUGGUGGAGGUGCUGUCAGACCACCCCGGGGAGCUGGUCCGGACCGACAGCCCAAACUUUCUCUGCUCUGUCCUGCCGACACACUGGAGGUGCAACAAGACCCUGCCCAUAGCUUUUAAGGUGGUUGGCCUGGGCGACGUUCCCGACGGCACGCUGGUCACGGUGAUGGCAGGAAACGAUGAGAAUUACUCGGCAGAGCUGCGCAACGCCACGGCCGCCAUGAAGAACCAGGUGGCCCGUUUUAACGACCUGAGAUUCGUGGGGCGCAGCGGCAGAGGGAAAAGCUUCACACUGACCAUCACAGUGUUUACAAACCCGCCACAAGUGGCCACGUACCACAGAGCCAUCAAGAUCACUGUGGAUGGACCGCGGGAGCCAAGACGGCACCGUCAGAAGCUGGAGGAGCAGGGGAAGCCCGGCAGCCUGGCGUUCUCGGAGCGGCUGAGCGAGCUGGAACAGCUGAGACGCACCGCCAUGAGGGUCAGUCCACACCACAACCCCCGCCCAGCCCUCAACCACAGCACCCCCUUCACGGGACAGCCGCACAGCCAGAUACAGGAUUCCAGACAGAUGCAGGCAUCCCCUUCCUGGUCCUAUGAGCAGUCGUACCCGUACCUGGGUCAAAUCUCCACCCCGGCCGUCCACCCUGCCACCCCCAUCUCCCCGGGCAGGGCCAGCGGCAUGGCCUCCCUGACUGAGCUCUCCAGCAGGCUCUCUGCUGCUCCAGACCUGACAGCCUUCAGUGACCCCCGGAUGGCUAUCGAGAGGCAGUUUUCCACCCUUCCAGACAGCCGCUUCUCAGACCCCCGCAUGCACUACCCGGGAGCCUUCACUUACACCCCUACUCCCGUCACCACGGGGAUUGGGAUCGGCAUGUCAGCCAUGAGCAGCGCUGCUCGCUACCACACCUACCUGCCUCCCCCCUACCCUGGAGCAUCCUCGCAGGGGCAGACUGGUGCCUUCCAGACCAGCUCGCCCCCCUACCACCUCUACUACAGCACUUCCGCUGGCUCCUACCAGUUCUCCAUGAUGUCCGGGGGGGAGCGAUCCCCACCACGCAUCCUCCCUCCUUGCACCAAUGCCUCCACCGGCUCGGCGCUGCUCCACCCCAACCUCCCCAGCCAGAGCGAAGGGGUGGAGGCCGAGGGGAGCCACAGCAACUCCCCCACCAACAUGGCCGAGGCAGUGUGGCGGCCUUAUUGAAUCUGAGCAACUCCCUCACCAACAUGGCCGAGGCAGUGUGGCAGCCUUUUUGAAUCUGAGCAACUCCCUCACCAACAUGGCGUAGGCAGUGUGGCAGCCUUAUUGAAUCUGAGCAACUCCCUCACCAAAAUGGCUGAGACAGUACAGCGGCCUUAUUGAAUAUGAACAACUCCUCCACCAACAUGGCCGAGGCAGUAUGGCGGCCUUAUGGAAUAUGAACAACUCCCCCACCAACAUGGCCGAGGCAUUGUAGUGGCAUUAUUGAAUCUGAGCAAGUCCCCCACCAACAUGGCCGAGGCAGUGUGGCGGCCUUAUUGAAUAUGAAAUAAAAAAUAAAAAAAACACAGAGAUAAAAUCAAUGUUCGUUGCCACACUGAUUUUCUUUUUUAAUCAAAAUAUCUGUUGACUAUGCAAGAUAUUUGAGAAAAGUUGUGUUUUUUAUUAUUAUUAUUAUUAUUAUUAUUAUUAUUAUUAUGGACCACUAAACAUGUGGUGUAACGUAACUGGUUAAAAACUGUGAAUGAUUUACGUUCAGAAACGCUGUGAAUAGAUUUUUUUUGCAUUUUUUCAUGGGGAUGUCAUGUUUAUUGGAAGCUCUCCUCCUCCUCCUCCUCCCCCCCCCGAUGGUUUCCAUGCUCCUCCUCAAGACCUGCUUGGCUUCACAAGGGCUGGACUGAGCCAGACGUGGAUCUUAAGAGUUUAAAAUCGGUGCCAUGUGGCAUUUCGAAGACGUCUCUCCCAUCUUCCCUGGCAGGGCCCGCUGUGGAGCUGAGGACAUGCAGGAAUCCUAAACCGUAACGUGAAACCUCAGCUGGGUUAUCAGCGAGAUUAAGUUUAUAUUUAGUAAUUUAUUAUUUAUUUGAUUUAUUUGCAUUUUGAAUCUCUGACGCAAGCGAGAUGAAUGAGUGUCUGACCACCCUGACCACUCACCUCUACCCUCAACUCCUUGGCCUAGAUUGGAACCGAUUGUUUGUCUAAUGUUCCUAGCGCUUUGUGGCCCGUUGUACAGGGCAGGCCCCUAUCUGGAUAACUCUCAAUCCAUCACAACAGACAUUUGAAGUUUGUUCGGCUACUCAGGUCAAGGAGGUGCUGACUGGAAUUAAAACACCCUGCAGUGCUGUAGUCGCUGUAGUCAUAAAACAGUUAGUCGUGUUUGGACCCACAAACCAGGUUUCCCAGCCCACAGGAGCCUGCAGGGUUGCAGUGUGCUCCUUGUCACAUCAUGUGUGUCUCCCAUUGUGGUAAAAGCUUCCAAGAGCAGAAGGAAAGUUUUUGCUGAUAUUUUGUUUGUGGUUGAUGUGAUUUAUUUUGUUGACAUGUAUGUAAAUAGCUCCACAGUGUAAUUGUGUUAUUGACCCUUAUUACACAACACUUUGCUGUUUCACCUGGGUAACUAAUUGCCUAAUUGUGUUUCAUU
RNA transcript from Polyodon spathula (Mississippi paddlefish), 3755 nucleotides. It is a transcript of the gene named runt-related transcription factor 1-like, with no coding region annotated. The record is from RefSeq and is a predicted model, not a curated record. NCBI's taxonomy places the organism in Eukaryota, Metazoa, Chordata, Actinopteri, Acipenseriformes, Polyodontidae. The transcript is spliced from 8 exons.